AAACCGCCUAGAGGUAAACGGGUGGAUCCGCAAAGUCGGCCCGCGGGAUUCAGCUCGGAAGGCUUCGUGCCCGGCCGGUGGGUAAGGGAUCUUAUCGACCCUCCUGCCACGGGACGCGAGUCGGCCGUGUGCACUUUCCGCGGGCAGAGCGCCACGACCGGUUCUCGGGCGGUCAGAAGGCGGCGGGGAUGGUAGGCGGGCGCCUCGGCGCUCGCUGGUAUAGCCCCGCCUGUCCCGAUCCGCUCUGGGGACCGAGGAGCCGCCGUCGGCGUAGGCCGCCUCGCUCUCCUGGGAUGUUCGACUGGCAGAGACUGGGCAACCGUGUCUGCUGACCGCUUCCCGGGAUNGACGGGGUGGGCCCGCCGGCACAGGGUCGGUGGCGAAUCGGUCGGCCCUCCACCCGACCCGUCUUGAA
RNAcentral lists this ribosomal RNA (415 nucleotides) under Sigapatella terranovae. Its description in RNAcentral is "eukaryotic LSU rRNA". Lineage: Eukaryota; Metazoa; Mollusca; Gastropoda; Littorinimorpha; Calyptraeidae. The record is from RNAcentral.